Molecule: ribosomal RNA, 495 nt
Filed under: uncultured bacterium
Lineage: Bacteria
Description: partial 16S ribosomal RNA
Rfam family: Bacterial small subunit ribosomal RNA
Source: RNAcentral
GAUGAACGCUGGCGGCGUGCUUAACACAUGCAAGUCGAACGAAGCACUUGAAACAGAUUCUUCGGAUGAAGUUUCCUGUGACUGAGUGGCGGACGGGUGAGUAACGCGUGGGUAACCUGCCUCAUACAGGGGGAUAACAGUUAGAAAUGGCUGCCAAUACCGCAUAAGCGCACGGCAUCGCAUGAUGCAGUGUGAAAAACUCCGGUGGUAUGAGAUGGACCCGCGUUGGAUUAGCUAGUUGGCAGGGUAACGGCCUACCAAGGCGACGAUCCAUAGCCGGCCUGAGAGGGUGGACGGCCACAUUGGGACUGAGACACGGCCCAGACUCCUACGGGAGGCAGCAGUGGGGAAUAUUGCACAAUGGGGGAAACCCUGAUGCAGCGACGCCGCGUGAGCGAAGAAGUAUUUCGGUAUGUAAAGCUCUAUCAGCAGGGAAGAAAAUGACGGUACCUGACUAAGAAGCCCCGGCUAACUACGUGCCAGCAGCCGCCGCAG